Molecule: ribosomal RNA, 198 nt
Filed under: uncultured bacterium
Lineage: Bacteria
Description: partial 16S ribosomal RNA
Rfam family: Bacterial small subunit ribosomal RNA
Source: RNAcentral
ACGCUCGACACCUACGGGUGGCAGCAGUGGGGAAUAUUGCACAAUGGGGGAAACCCUGAUGCAGCGACGCCGCGUGGAGGAAGAAGGUCUUCGGAUUGUAAACUCCUGUUGUUGGGGAAAAAGAGGAUGGUACCCAACAAGGAAGUGACGGCUAACUACGUGUCAGCAGCCGCGGUAAUCUGAGCGGGCUGGCAAGGC